This 500-nucleotide ribosomal RNA is filed under the name uncultured bacterium. RNAcentral describes it as "partial 16S ribosomal RNA". It matches the Rfam family "Bacterial small subunit ribosomal RNA", at positions 30 to 523 of the family's 1533-position model. The record is from RNAcentral.
AUUGAACGCUGGCGGAAUGCUUUACACAUGCAAGUCGAACGGCAGCACGGACUUCGGUCUGGUGGCGAGUGGCGAACGGGUGAGUAAUGUAUCGGAACGUGCCCAGUCGUGGGGGAUAACGUAGUGAAAAUUACGCUAAUACCGCAUACGAUCUAUGGAUGAAAGCGGGGGAUCGCAAGACCUCGCGCGAUUGGAGCGGCCGAUAUCGGAUUAGGUAGUUGGUGGGGUAAAGGCCCACCAAGCCAACGACCUGUAGCUGGUCUGAGAGGACGACCAGCCACACUGGAACUGAGACACGGUCCAGACUCCUACGGGAGGCAGCAGUGGGGAAUUUUGGACAAUGGGCGAAAGCCUGAUCCAGCCAUUCCGCGUGCAGGAUGAAGGCCCUCGGGUUGUAAACUGCUUUUGUACAGAACGAAAAGGUUUCUACUAAUACUAGGAGCUCAUGACGGUACUGUAAGAAUAAGCACCGGCUAACCACGUGCCAGCAGCCGCAGUAA